RNAcentral lists this ribosomal RNA (99 nucleotides) under Colobus angolensis palliatus. The record is from RNAcentral. Lineage: Eukaryota; Metazoa; Chordata; Mammalia; Primates; Cercopithecidae.
UGGGGCCACACCACCCUGGAUGUGCCUGAUGACUCAGAAGCCAGCCAGGAUCGGGCCUGAUUAGUACUUGGAUGGGAAAAGGCAUAGGUCAUGCCCCGA